GCGGUUGUAGCUCAAGGGGGUAGAGCAGCCGGCUCUUAACCGGCAGGCCAGGGUUCGAUGCCCUGCGACCGCA
Molecule: transfer RNA, 73 nt
Filed under: Methylibium petroleiphilum PM1
Lineage: Bacteria; Pseudomonadati; Pseudomonadota; Betaproteobacteria; Burkholderiales; Sphaerotilaceae
Rfam family: tRNA
About the family: Transfer RNA (tRNA) molecules are approximately 80 nucleotides in length. Their secondary structure includes four short double-helical elements and three loops (D, anti-codon, and T loops). Further hydrogen bonds mediate the characteristic L-shaped molecular structure. tRNAs have two regions of fundamental functional importance: the anti-codon, which is responsible for specific mRNA codon recognition, and the 3' end, to which the tRNAs corresponding amino acid is attached (by aminoacyl-tRNA synthetases). tRNAs cope with the degeneracy of the genetic code in two manners: having more than one tRNA (with a specific anti-codon) for a particular amino acid; and 'wobble' base-pairing, i.e. permitting non-standard base-pairing at the 3rd anti-codon position.
Source: Rfam by way of RNAcentral